UACGUAGGGGGCAAGCGUUGUCCGGAUUUAUUGGGCGUAAAGAGCGUGUAGGCGGUUGGGUAGGUCCGUUGUGAAAACUCGAGGCUCAACCUCGAGACGCCGAUGGAAACCCCCCAGCUAGAGUCCGGAAGGGGAGAGUGGAAUUCCUGGUGUAGCGGUGAAAUGCGCAGAUAUCAGGAAGAACACCCGUGGCUAAGGCGGCUCUCUAGUACGGUACUGACGCUGAGACGCGAAAGCGUGGGGAGCGAACAGG
Molecule: ribosomal RNA, 253 nt
Filed under: uncultured bacterium
Lineage: Bacteria
Description: partial 16S ribosomal RNA
Rfam family: Bacterial small subunit ribosomal RNA
Source: RNAcentral